GUUAGGAAUAUUGGACAAUGGGCGCAAGCCUGAUCCAGCCAUGCCGCGUGAGUGAUGAAGGCCUUCGGGUUGUAAAGCUCUUUAGCCGAUGAUUAUAAUGACUGUAGUCGGAAAAUAAGCCCCGGCUAACUUCGUGCCAGCAGCCGCGGUAAUACGAAGGGGGCGAGCGUUAUUCGGAAUCACUGGGCGUAAAGCGUGCGUAGGCGGCUUUGCAAGUUGGGAGUGAAAGCCCAGGGCUCAACCCUGGAAUUGCACUCAAAACUGCAAGGCUCGAAUUCGGGAGAGGAUAGCGGAAUUGUCAGUGUAGCAGUGAAAUGCGUAGAUAUUGACAGGAACACCAGUGGCGUAAGCGGCUAUCUGGACCGAUAUUGACGCUGAGGCACGAAAGCGUGGGGAUCAAACAGGAUUAGAAACCCUAGUAGUCC
This 425-nucleotide ribosomal RNA is filed under the name uncultured bacterium. Its description in RNAcentral is "partial 16S ribosomal RNA". It matches the Rfam family "Bacterial small subunit ribosomal RNA", at positions 354 to 796 of the family's 1533-position model. The record is from RNAcentral.